GGAUAACCUACCCUUAGGACUGGGAUAACCCUGGGAAACUGGGGCUAAUACCGGAUAGGCAAUUUUUCCUGUAAUGGUUCUUUGUUUAAAUGUUUUUUCGCCUAAGGAUGGGUCUGCGGCCGAUUAGGUAGUUGGUUAGGUAAUGGCUUACCAAGCCGUUGAUCGGUACGGGUUGUGAGAGCAAGAGCCCGGAGAUGGAACCUGAGACAAGGUUCCAGGCCCUACGGGGCGCAGCAGGCGCGAAACCUCCACAAUGUGAGAAAUCGCGAUGGGGGGAUCCCAAGUGCCAUUCUUAACGGGAUGGCUUUUCAUUAGUGUAAAAAGCUUUUGGAAUAAGAGCUGGGCAAGACCGGUGCCAGCCGCCGCGGUAACACCGGCAGCUCUAGUGGUAGCAACUUUUAUUGGGCCUAAAGCGUCCGUAGCCGGUUUAAUAAGUCUCUGGUGAAAUCCUGUAGCUUAACUGUGGGAAUUGCUGGAGAUACUAUUAGACUUGAGACCGGGAGAGGUUAGAGGUACUCCCAGGGUAGAGGUGAAAUUCUGUAAUCCUGGGAGGACCGCCUGUUGCGAAGGCGUCUAACUGGAACGGUUCUGACGGUGAGGGACGAAAGUUAGGGGCGCGAACCGGAUUAGAUACCCGGGUAGUCCUAACUGUAAACGAUGCGGACUUGGUGUUGGGGUGGCUUUGAGCUGUUCCAGUGCCGAAGGGAAGCUGUUAAGUCCGCCGCCUGGGAAGUACGGUCGCAAGACUGAAACUUAA
This 757-nucleotide ribosomal RNA is filed under the name uncultured archaeon. Its description in RNAcentral is "bacterial SSU rRNA". It matches the Rfam family "Archaeal small subunit ribosomal RNA", at positions 102 to 859 of the family's 1478-position model. The record is from RNAcentral.